Molecule: long non-coding RNA, 313 nt
Filed under: Mytilus galloprovincialis (Mediterranean mussel)
Lineage: Eukaryota; Metazoa; Mollusca; Bivalvia; Mytilida; Mytilidae
Source: RNAcentral
UUGGCCCAUACAUGAAUAUAUAUUGUUUUGGUGUGGGGAUCUCAACCGUUUCCAAGUUCUCAAACAGGAGGGUUGGGGUGACCACAGGGACUUCCCCUAUAUUUUAUUUGAUUUGUUAUAUUGUCCCAUACAUGAGUAUAUAUGGUGUAGGGAUAAGGAUUUUGACCAUUUCCAAGUUCUCAAACAGGAGGGUGUACAGUGACCUCAGGGACUCCCCUAUCUUUCAUUUGAAUUGUUAUUGUCCCGUACAUGAAUAUAUGGUUAAGGGUGGCGAUCUCAACGGGUUUCAAAUUCUCAAACAGGAGGGGUGGGG